RNAcentral lists this ribosomal RNA (777 nucleotides) under Acidimicrobiales bacterium. RNAcentral describes it as "partial 23S ribosomal RNA". It matches the Rfam family "Bacterial large subunit ribosomal RNA", at positions 234 to 1009 of the family's 2925-position model. Lineage: Bacteria; Bacillati; Actinomycetota; Acidimicrobiia; Acidimicrobiales. The record is from RNAcentral.
AUUCUCUGAGUAGCGGCGAGCGAAAUGGGACCAGUCUAAACUUUAUAAUAAUUUAUAAAGGGUUGUGGGAUAGCUUAUAGUAAAGUGUAAUUGUUAGAUGAAGCAGAAUGAAUGCUGUACCAUAGUAGGUGAAAGUCCUGUAGUCGAAAACUUAAGCAUUUUAAAGUCUUAUCCCAAGUAGGAAGGGACACGUGAAACCCCUUUUGAAUUUGCGAGGACCACCUCGUAAGACUAAAUAUUACUGAACAACCGAUAGUGAACCAGUACCGUGAGGGAAAGGUGAAAAGAACCCCGGGAGGGGAGUGAAAGAGAACAUGAAAUCGUAAGUUUACAAGCAGUAGAAGAGUGACUUAACGCUCGACUUCGUGCCUGUUGAAGAAUGAGCUGGCGACUUGUGGGUUGUGGCAAGGUUAAGAUAAGAAAAUAUCGGAGCCAUAGUGAAAGCGAGCCUGAUAAGGGCUUUAAGUCAUAAUUUACAGACCCGAACCCGGAUGAUCUAACCAUGGCCAGUGUGAAGCUUAGGUAACACUAAGUGGAGGUACCAACCGACUGUUGUUGAAAAAACAGCGGAUGAGUUGUGGUUAGGGGUGAAAUUCCAAUCGAAUCCGGAGCUAGCUGGAUCUCCCCGAAAUGCGUUGAGGCGCAGCGGUUAAUGUUUCUUCUUAGGGGUAAAGCUACUGUUUUGGUGCGGGCUGCGAGAGCGGUACCAAAUCAAGGCAAACUCUGAAUACUAAGACGUUUAGUUAACCAGUGAGACAUUGGGGGAUAAGCUUCAAU